AUUAAGCUGAAGAGUCCCAUAUUGGACGAAACGCGCAUCCUGGAU
Molecule: non-coding RNA, 45 nt
Organism: Schistosoma mattheei
Lineage: Eukaryota; Metazoa; Platyhelminthes; Trematoda; Strigeidida; Schistosomatidae
Source: Rfam